GGAUUGCUAGCUCAGUUGGAAGAGCAGAGGACUUUUAAUCCUAAGGUCGAGGGUUCGAUCCCCUCGCAAUCCACCA
RNAcentral lists this transfer RNA (76 nucleotides) under Mogibacterium diversum. Its description in RNAcentral is "tRNA-Lys". It matches the Rfam family "tRNA". Rfam says of the family: Transfer RNA (tRNA) molecules are approximately 80 nucleotides in length. Their secondary structure includes four short double-helical elements and three loops (D, anti-codon, and T loops). Lineage: Bacteria; Bacillati; Bacillota; Clostridia; Peptostreptococcales; Anaerovoracaceae. The record is from RNAcentral.